AGUUCGGAAAAGUAGAUACGACGGAGACGUAUCAAAGCCCUUAGUAACGCUCAUUAAGAGCCUCCAAUUGAACUCCUAAUACUUGUUUUAAUUGGACCUUUGUCUCAUCCUGGCAUCCCCUCCCGAAAAAGAUCGACGAUUUCUGCAAGUUAACUCGCUGUCAGGAUGGCUCUUCAUACUUAGUUAGUAUCUCCCUUAGUGCCUCUAUAUUCUCAGUGGAUCCCUCUAGGAAUACUAUGCUAUCAUCGGCAAACAACAAAUGUGUGAUAUGGGGCCCAGUGCUCCCAAAAGACACACCCUUGAUU
This 305-nucleotide long non-coding RNA is filed under the name Hordeum vulgare. Its description in RNAcentral is "long non-coding RNA (HVUL_LNC001562)". The record is from RNAcentral. Lineage: Eukaryota; Viridiplantae; Streptophyta; Magnoliopsida; Poales; Poaceae.